Molecule: microRNA precursor, 74 nt
Filed under: Myotis brandtii (Brandt's bat)
Lineage: Eukaryota; Metazoa; Chordata; Mammalia; Chiroptera; Vespertilionidae
Description: mir-9193 microRNA precursor family
Rfam family: mir-9193 microRNA precursor family
Source: Rfam by way of RNAcentral
GGGGGGGCAGGGAGGUCCCUCAGCCUGGAUUGCGAGAGGGUGCAGGCCAGGCCGAGGGACCCCACUGGUGCAUG